Molecule: long non-coding RNA, 444 nt
Organism: Zea mays
Lineage: Eukaryota; Viridiplantae; Streptophyta; Magnoliopsida; Poales; Poaceae
Exons: 3
Source: RefSeq, a predicted model, not a curated record
ACUGCAAUGCAAGUUGCAAGCAGCAAGGUAUUCACUGUGGUGUGGUGUGCGCUGAUGAGUCGUGUCUCGUCCAUCCUUUGCUUGCAGAGUUGCAGGAAGAAGAUGAGGGAGUAGGAUGGAAGUUCAUGUUGUGCGUUCUGGUGUUCCGACUGGCCACGGAAGAUCGAAUAAACAUUGGUGAAAGCCCCAUUUCUACUCAUAAUGUUUGCGGCUGUUUCUUUUGGUGCAUGUGCAUCAGGGAGUUGCGUUCCUCCCAGAACCCCUUCCUAUUAUGAUAGAAGACAUUGGGCUCCGUCCAUAAUCAUCCAUUGGCGACAAAGUUUCUUGUACAUUGUACACAUGUAAAACAAUCACACCACCAUGAACCAGCCGCCAUCAGUGUUUUCUGAUUUCAUUGUUUCAGACUUCAAAGCAUUGUAAAAUCAGUUUGUGAUGGUUUGCUGA